RNAcentral lists this non-coding RNA (90 nucleotides) under Pseudomonas sp. 478. Lineage: Bacteria; Pseudomonadati; Pseudomonadota; Gammaproteobacteria; Pseudomonadales; Pseudomonadaceae. The record is from RNAcentral.
UGUGGGAGCGGGCUUGCUCGCGAAGGCGUCGUGCCAUUCAGCAUUAAUGUCGACUGAGACGACGCCUUCGCGAGCAAGCCCGCUCCCACA